RNAcentral lists this non-coding RNA (49 nucleotides) under Halotalea alkalilenta. Its description in RNAcentral is "Xanthine-I sequence". It matches the Rfam family "Xanthine riboswitch aptamer (NMT1 RNA)". From Rfam's summary of the family: Later it was reported as a ncRNA that recognised Xanthine. The record is from Rfam by way of RNAcentral. Lineage: Bacteria; Pseudomonadati; Pseudomonadota; Gammaproteobacteria; Oceanospirillales; Halomonadaceae.
CAAGAGAGUAGAAGCGGUCAGGGCUCCCGCCCGGGACAUUGCUCUCCAA